Long non-coding RNA from Gordionus sp. m RMFG-2023, 1735 nucleotides. RefSeq lists it as uncharacterized. The record is from RefSeq and is a predicted model, not a curated record. Lineage: Eukaryota; Metazoa; Nematomorpha; Gordioida; Chordodea; Parachordodidae. The transcript has 3 exons.
CCUGUUAUCCUAAUGUCUAACAUUUUACCAACAGAUAUCCUGGCAUAUUCUAUACUGCUAAAUUGUUAAUUCAUUUAUCAAAUUAGAAAAGUGUAUCUCAUACAUUCUGAAUAUGGAGGAAAUAUUAAUUUAUAAUUAUUUUGACAUGACUAGGAAUGUAAAUUUACCGGAAAACUAGAAUAGGAAGACAUUUCCCUAGAAAUUUGGAGAAAAACGGGAAAAUAAGGAAGCAACGGAGAAUUUUCUUUAAAAAAUUAUUUUACAGACUAUCUAUAUUAUAAUUUUUUGAUGUCCUCGCUACAUCAUUCGUGUGUCAGGUUAUCGCUACGUCAUGUCAUCGUUACUAUUCUUAUUAUUUAUUUAUCAAUUUCAAAAAAAUAAUAAAGAAAUAAAUAUUUUCUUCAAAUUAUUUUAUCUCAAAUUCAAUCAACAGUAUUCCAGUAAUUUCACUUCUAAUGGGUCACUAAUUAUAGUGUGCAAGUUAAUUAUAUUAUAUUGAAGCAAAUUAUAUAUUAGUACAAAUUUUAGAUAUCAAAAAAUAAAAAUUUUCUUCAAAUCAUUCUAUUCUAAAUUCAACUCAACCAGUAUUCAAAAUUUGCUUCUGGUAGCUUUCUUACCAUUAAGGUUUUCUUAAUUCCAACUGAUUCUGGCUUACCAUUUUUUUAAGUGCCGCCAAUUUCUCGUGAGACCUGCUUAUGUCAUGACAAUUUAUAAAGCUCAGAGACAAACGUCGUUGGACAAAGUUGGUAUCUAUUUACCUCAUCCUGUUUUUUCACAUUGACAGCUAUAUGUGGCUAUGUCUCGGGUUUGUUUUCCUCAAUGUGGUGUUGAGGUUAUAUCCGAUUAAUCCCGUUAAUACGAAUACGAUAGAACAACACUAUAUGAUAUUUUUUUUAUAAUUUAAAUAAAUUUAUAUAUCUAUUUUAAGUAUCCUACUUAUUUUUAAAGCUAUCCAUUAUGUCGGGCCGAGCAAUAUGCCCUUUUAUCUAUGAUGAAUAUUUUGUAUAACUCACAGAAAAAUAUACAUAGUAUAUUAUUUUUAUUAUUUAAAUAAAUUUAUAUAUUAAGGAUCUUACUUUAUUUAAAGCUUGGCAUUUUGUCACGAACAAUGCUUUAUUAUCCCUGCUGAUUAUUUUGUAUAUAACUCACAAAUAUAUAGUUUCUUUUCCUUGGUACCUUCUAACUUACGCUAAUCUUUUUAAUUUAAUUUUUAUUUUAGAAUAAAUGUAUACUUUUUUUACUUGAUAUAUUUUGAGCAAUAUGCCCUUUUAUCUAUGAAAUAUUUUGUAACUCACAGAAAAAUAUACAUAGUAUAUUAUUUUUAUUAUUUAAAUAAAUUUAUAUUAAGGAUCUUACUUUUUUUAAAGCUUGCCAUUUUGUCACGAUGCUUUAUUAUCCCUGCUGAUUAUUUUGUAUAUAACUCACAAAAAUAUAUACAUAGUUUCUUUUCCUUGGUACCUUCUAACUACGCUAAUCUUUUUAAUUUAAUUUUAAUUCUUUUUUAGAAUAAAUGUAUACUUUUUUUACUUGAUAUAUUUUUUAUUUUCUUUUUCUUAUUUUUUUUCCUUUCAACUAAAAAUGAAUGAAAUUCUCUUUUCAAAUUUUCUUUUAGCAACAGGAAUAAUAAUGAUUUAUUUUGCUUUGUUUUCACUUUAUAUAACAUCGCGAAAAGAAUAAAUACAAAAAUAAUCUACACAAUAACAAUAAUAUUAUAUUUUUUUUUUCAACAACGAUA